AUGCCUCUCCGCCGAAAGCUCCGGCGCCUGAGGAUGAGCCUGCGCCCGAUUAGGUUGUUGGCGGUGUAACGGACCACCAAGCCUUAGAUCGGUACGGGCACUGAGAGGUGGAGCCCGGAGAUGGGGGCUGAGACACGGCCCCAGGCCCUACGGGGCGCAGCAGGCGCGAAAACUCCGCAAUACGCGCAAGCGUGACGGGGGAACCCCAAGUGCCUCAUCUUUUUGGUGAGGCUUUUUCAGAGUGUAAACAGCUCUGAGAAUAAAAGCGGGGUAAGACCGGUGCCAGCCGCCGCGGUAACACCGGCCGCUCAAGUGGUGACCGCUAUUAUUGGGCCUAAGGCGUCCGUAGCCGGUUCGGUAAGUCCCUGGGUAAAUCCUGCCGUUUAACGGUAGGAAUUCUGGGGAUACUGCCGGACUCGGGGUCGAGAGAAGUCGGAGGUACUCCGGGGGUAGCGGUGAAAUGCUGUAAUCCUCGGGGGACCACCAGUGGCGAAGGCGUCCGACUAGAGCGGGCCCGACGGUGAGGGACGAAAGCCAGGGGAGCGAACGGGAUUAGAUACCCCGGUAGUC
Molecule: ribosomal RNA, 570 nt
Filed under: uncultured archaeon
Lineage: Archaea
Description: bacterial SSU rRNA
Rfam family: Archaeal small subunit ribosomal RNA
Source: RNAcentral